GAUGAACGCUGGCGGCGUGCUUAAUACAUGCAAGUCGAGCGAACGGACGCGACGUUUGCUUCUCUGAUGUUAGCGGCGGACGGGUGAGUAGCACGUGGAUAACCUACCUCUAAGACUGGGAUAUCUUCGGGAAACUGGAGUUCCUACUGGGUAAUAUUUUGAGCCGCAUGGUUGGAAAGUGUAAGACGGUUUUGCUGUGACCUCUAGCUGGCUCCGUGGUGCUUUGGUGAGUUGGUACGGUAACGGCUUGCCAGGGCAGGAAUGGAUAGCCGACCCGCGAGCGUGAAGCCCCACUCAGAGGCUGGAACGCGAUCCAGACUCCUACGGGAGGCAGAAGUAGGGAAUCUUCCGCGAUGGGCGAAAGCCUGACGGAGCAGCGCCGGGUGGAUGAUGAAGGUCUUCGGAUCGUAAGACGCUGUUAUGAGGGAAAAACACUUGUGUAAGUGACUAUGCACAUCUUGACGGUACCUAGUCAGAAAGCCACGGCUAACUACGUG
Molecule: ribosomal RNA, 497 nt
Filed under: uncultured bacterium
Lineage: Bacteria
Description: partial 16S ribosomal RNA
Rfam family: Bacterial small subunit ribosomal RNA
Source: RNAcentral